Molecule: ribosomal RNA, 435 nt
Filed under: uncultured Oscillospiraceae bacterium
Lineage: Bacteria; Bacillati; Bacillota; Clostridia; Eubacteriales; Oscillospiraceae
Description: bacterial SSU rRNA
Rfam family: Bacterial small subunit ribosomal RNA
Source: RNAcentral
ACGGGAGGCAGCAGUCGGGAAUAUUGCGCAAUGGAGGAAACUCUGACGCAGUGACGCCGCGUAUAGGAAGAAGGUUUUCGGAUUGUAAACUAUUGUCGUUAGGGAAGAUAAAAGACAGUACCUAAGGAGGAAGCUCCGGCUAACUACGUGCCAGCAGCCGCGGUAAUACGUAGGGAGCAAGCGUUAUCCGGAUUUAUUGGGUGUAAAGGGUGCGUAGACGGGAAAUUAAGUUAGUUGUGAAAUCCCUCGGCUUAACUGAGGAACUGCAACUAAAACUGGUUUUCUUGAGUGCGGGAGAGGAAAGUGGAAUUCCUAGUGUAGCGGUGAAAUGCGUAGAUAUUAGGAGGAACACCAGUGGCGAAGGCGACUUUCUGGACCGUAACUGACGUUGAGGCACGAAAGUGUGGGGAGCAAACAGGAUUAGAUACCCUGGUA